GACGAACGCUGGCGGCGUGCUUAACACAUGCAAGUCGAACGGAAAGGCCCUGCUUUUGUGUGGUGCUCGAGUGGCGAACGGGUGAGUAACACGUGAGUAACCUGCCCUUGACUUUGGGAUAACAUCAGGAAACUGGGGCUAAUACCGGACAGUAGCUCCUGCUGCAUGGUGGGGGUUGGAAAGUUUCGGCGGUUGGGGAUGGACUCGCGGCUUAUCAGCUUGUUGGUGGGGUAGUGGCUUACCAAGGCUUUGACGGGUAGCCGGCCUGAGAGGGUGACCGGCCACAUUGGGACUGAGAUACGGCCCAGACUCCUACGGGAGGCAGCAGUGGGGAAUAUUGCACAAUGGGCGGAAGCCUGAUGCAGCAACGCCGCGUGCGGGAUGACGGCCUUCGGGUUGUAAACCGCUUUCGCCUGUGACGAAGCGUGAGUGACGGUAAUGGGUAAAGAAGCACCGGCUAACUACGUG
This 468-nucleotide ribosomal RNA is filed under the name uncultured bacterium. Its description in RNAcentral is "partial 16S ribosomal RNA". It matches the Rfam family "Bacterial small subunit ribosomal RNA", at positions 28 to 507 of the family's 1533-position model. The record is from RNAcentral.